RNAcentral lists this ribosomal RNA (638 nucleotides) under uncultured organism. Its description in RNAcentral is "bacterial SSU rRNA". It matches the Rfam family "Bacterial small subunit ribosomal RNA", at positions 1 to 692 of the family's 1533-position model. The record is from RNAcentral.
UAGAGUUUGAUCCUGGCUCAGGAUGAACGCUGGCGGUCUGCUUAACACAUGCAAGUCGAACGCAACCUUCGGGUUGAGUGGCGGACGGGUGAGUAACGCGUGAGAAUCUGCCUUGGGGUCGGGGACAACCACUGGAAACGGUGGCUAAUACCGGAUAAGCCUUUGGGUAAAAGAUUUAUUGCCCCAAGAGGAGCUCGCGUCUGAUUAGCUAGUUGGUGAGGUAAAAGCUCACCAAGGCAGCGAUCAGUAGCUGGUCUGAGAGGACGAUCAGCCACACUGGGACUGAGACACGGCCCAGACUCCUACGGGAGGCAGCAGUGGGGAAUUUUCCGCAAUGGGCGAAAGCCUGACGGAGCAAGACCGCGUGAGGGAGGAAGGCUCUUGGGUUGUAAACCUCUUUUCUCAGGGAAGAAGCUCUGACGGUACCUGAGGAAUCAGCCUCGGCUAACUCCGUGCCAGCAGCCGCGGUAAUACGGAGGAGGCAAGCGUUAUCCGGAAUUAUUGGGCGUAAAGCGUCCGCAGGUGGCGAUUCAAGUCUGCUGUCAAAGCACGGGGCUUAACUCCGUUAAGGCAGUGGAAACUGAAUAGCUAGAGUGCCGUAGGGUAGAGGGAAUUCCCGGUGUAGCGUGAAAUGCGUA